This is a long non-coding RNA of Chiroxiphia lanceolata (lance-tailed manakin), 936 nucleotides long. RefSeq lists it as uncharacterized. The record is from RefSeq and is a predicted model, not a curated record. The transcript is spliced from 3 exons. NCBI's taxonomy places the organism in Eukaryota, Metazoa, Chordata, Aves, Passeriformes, Pipridae.
UUGGGCUCUUUGAGGGGAUUUUUGGGGUCUCUGAGUGGUUUUUUGGGGUCAUAUUAUGGAUUUUUGGGGUCUUUGAGUGGAUUUUUGGGGUCAUAUUAUGGAUUUUUGGGGUCCUUGAGUGGAUUUUUGGGUGUUUUUAGUGGAUUUUUGGGGUUUUUUAGUGGAUUUUUGGGGUCUUUUAGUAGAUUUUUGGGGUCUCUGAGUCAAUUUUUGGGGUCUCUGAGUGGAUUUUUGGGGUCUCUGAGUUGAUUUUGGGGGUCUCUGAGUGGAUUUUUGGGGUCUUUGAGUGAAUUUUUGGGGUCAUUUUAUGGAUUUUUGGGCUCUUUGAGUGGAUUUUUGGGGUCUCUGAGUGGUUUUUUGGGGUCAUUUCCUGGAUUUCUGGGGUCUCUGAGUGGAUUUUUGAGGUCAUUUAGUGGAUUUUUGGGGUCUCUGAGUGAAUUUUUGUUGUCUCUGAGUUGAUUUUUGGGGUCAUUUCGUGGAUUUUUGGGCUCUCUUAGUGGAUUUUUGGGAUCUUUAAGUGGAUUUUUGGGAUCUGUUAAUGGAUUUUGGGGGUCUCUAAGUGGAUUUUUGGGGUCAUUUCGUGGAUUUUGGGGUCUCUGAGUCGGUUUUUGGGGUCCCCCCAGGCCGAGUCCUCCCUGGCCCGUUCCCAGGAGCUUUGGUUCCGCUGGGAAACCCUCUGGAGGAUUUUGGGGGAGAUCCUCAGGGACCCCCGGGAUCUGGAGCCUUCUGUGCUGCAGGAGCUGCAGGAGGAGCUCACCUGGGCCCAGGUGAGGAGGGGACACCCCGAAAUCGCCCCCCUGGUGCCUCCCCCCAAGCGCUCCCUCCCCCCCCUCCUGCUGCCGGAGCUGGAGCGGCGCCUGCGGGAAAAGCGGGAUGAGCUGCGGGGUUUCCUGCUGGGAAUUCCCGGGAUUCCGGGGCCCCUUCCCGAGGGAAUUC